CUAGCCUCGAGGCCCGGGGCGGGGGCAGCGGCCGUCCGGCCCCGGGAUACCCCUCCCCUUAGCCCUCCGAGCUUCCCGGCAGGAGGGGGUUAACGGGAUCUGCGGGAUCCGCAGGAGCCAGCGAUUUCCCUGCUGGAAAAGCGAGGGGGAGCAGGAGAAGGGGGCGGGGAGGGGCUCGGUGGCCUCCGGUCCGCCGGCCCACCUGGGGCCCGCGAGGCCGGCCGGACGGACGGACGGUCGGCCGGACAGACGGCCGGCUGCUGCCGGGCUCCGCAGAGGCGAUGGGAGAGGGUCCCUCUCCCGGGCAAGCCCAAGGCAACGUCACAUCUCCUGAGGACACCGGGGCCGUCGGCCGCCCUCCUCCAACCGGCUCCGCACCUUCCCCUUCCCCCGCAGCGGCCCCAGGCUCCCCUCCACCCCCCACCCCGGCAUCCCGGCCCCAAGCCCGGGGCCACCGCCCCCCCCCCCCCCCCGGCCGGCCUCGCCCUCCGGAGCCGCGGGCUAACCUCUUUUCCACGAUGACUCACCAUUAUUUUUAA
Molecule: long non-coding RNA, 539 nt
Filed under: Ornithorhynchus anatinus (platypus)
Lineage: Eukaryota; Metazoa; Chordata; Mammalia; Monotremata; Ornithorhynchidae
Description: lncRNA (ENSOANG00000043223.1)
Source: RNAcentral